AACGUAGGAUCCGAGCGUUAUCCGAAUUCACUGGGCGUAAAGCGCGUGCAGGCGGCCUGCUAAGUUGGAUGUGAAACCUCCCGGCUCAACUGGGAGAGGACGUACAAUACUAGCGGGCUAGAGGGCAGUAGAGGGAGGUGGAAUUCCCGGUGUAGUGGUGAAAUGCGUAGAUAUCGGGAGGAACACCAGUGGCGAAAGCGGCCUCCUGGGCUGCACCUGACGCUGAGAUGCGAAAGCUAGGGGAGCAAACGGG
This 253-nucleotide ribosomal RNA is filed under the name uncultured bacterium. RNAcentral describes it as "partial 16S ribosomal RNA". It matches the Rfam family "Bacterial small subunit ribosomal RNA", at positions 524 to 776 of the family's 1533-position model. The record is from RNAcentral.